This 487-nucleotide long non-coding RNA is filed under the name Cyanistes caeruleus (blue tit). Its description in RNAcentral is "lncRNA (ENSCCEG00000009540.1)". The record is from RNAcentral. Lineage: Eukaryota; Metazoa; Chordata; Aves; Passeriformes; Paridae.
CACACAUCCUUCUUAUGCUUGUGGUUUUCUCAAUAACUUCCCAGUCUCUCACAUUUUGUAUUCCUUUUAAUUAUUUAGAACACUUUUUAGACAAAGAGAAUCAGGGCAAGAAUGUCAAUGAUUUUUACAAUAUUUUAGCCCUUGAAUUUUGUUAACAGACUUAGAGGGAAGCUCAUGGUUGCACAAGCUUGGAAUGAAUAUAAACAAGUGGUCAUUUCUGAAUUCUCUGAUUGGAUGGAGUGAAGACAGAACUCAAGAUAAAGAUCAGUUUACCACAUCUGGAGUUUGUUCUGCUGCUGAUCACAAAGCAACUGAGUUGGAGGAAUGUACAACCAAAAAAGUGCCAUACAUUCCAUACAGCCUAGCUACAUUGCAUAUCAUCAAGAUUGUAAAAGACAUGCAGCAAAUGAAAAACAGACACAUGAAGAUAAUUAGAAAACUAGAUGAUAUAAGGAAAGAAAAGCAGACAGGCACUCAGUUCCCAUGA